RNAcentral lists this ribosomal RNA (671 nucleotides) under Micromonospora chalcea. Its description in RNAcentral is "bacterial SSU rRNA". It matches the Rfam family "Bacterial small subunit ribosomal RNA", at positions 74 to 763 of the family's 1533-position model. The record is from RNAcentral. Lineage: Bacteria; Bacillati; Actinomycetota; Actinomycetes; Micromonosporales; Micromonosporaceae.
GGCCCUUCGGGGUACUCGAGCGGCGAACGGGUGAGUAACACGUGAGCAACCUGCCCCAGGCUUUGGGAUAACCCCGGGAAACCGGGGCUAAUACCGAAUAUGACCUUGCACCGCAUGGUGUUUGGUGGAAAGUUUUUCGGCUUGGGAUGGGCUCGCGGCCUAUCAGCUUGUUGGUGGGGUGAUGGCCUACCAAGGCGACGACGGGUAGCCGGCCUGAGAGGGCGACCGGCCACACUGGGACUGAGACACGGCCCAGACUCCUACGGGAGGCAGCAGUGGGGAAUAUUGCACAAUGGGCGGAAGCCUGAUGCAGCGACGCCGCGUGAGGGAUGACGGCCUUCGGGUUGUAAACCUCUUUCAGCAGGGACGAAGCGUAAGUGACGGUACCUGCAGAAGAAGCGCCGGCCAACUACGUGCCAGCAGCCGCGGUAAGACGUAGGGCGCGAGCGUUGUCCGGAUUUAUUGGGCGUAAAGAGCUCGUAGGCGGCUUGUCGCGUCGACCGUGAAAACCUGGGGCUCAACCCCAGGCCUGCGGUCGAUACGGGCAGGCUAGAGUUCGGUAGGGGAGACUGGAAUUCCUGGUGUAGCGGUGAAAUGCGCAGAUAUCAGAGGAACACCGGUGGCGAAGGCGGGUCUCUGGGCCGAUACUGACGCUGAGGAGCGAAAGCGUG